AUCCAUCACUAAAAUUUAUUCAACCAAAACAUUGACGCGAAUCUGGUCACACCGGGUAUAAGAUCUGCUUCCGUUCGGCUGGACCCCGCAUGCUGCAUCGAUCUUCUUCCCCAACCAGGCCCGACGUAGGUUCUUUUCCUUCAAGCCACUCACAGGGAUUUUGGCCUCCAGAUCACGGCCCUCCCUGCACGCAGCAUGCUUUUUUCUUCCUCUUCUUCCCCUCCUUCUCUUUCUUCUUUUCUUCUCUGCCGCCCAU
This 256-nucleotide long non-coding RNA is filed under the name Carica papaya (papaya). RNAcentral's name for it is "long non-coding RNA (CPAP_LNC006382)". Lineage: Eukaryota; Viridiplantae; Streptophyta; Magnoliopsida; Brassicales; Caricaceae. The record is from RNAcentral.